UGACAUUUCGGGUCAGGAUCCUUCUUCAGACUGAUUGUAUUAGGGGGAAGAAAACUAGUAGAGAGGUGGGGACAGG
Long non-coding RNA from Amblyraja radiata (thorny skate), 76 nucleotides. RefSeq lists it as uncharacterized. NCBI's taxonomy places the organism in Eukaryota, Metazoa, Chordata, Chondrichthyes, Rajiformes, Rajidae. The transcript is spliced from 3 exons. The record is from RefSeq and is a predicted model, not a curated record.